CAGCCGCCGCGGUAAUACAGAGGGGGCUAGCGUUGUUCGGAAUUACUGGGCGUAAAGCGCACGUAGGCGGCUUUGUAAGUUAGAGGUGAAAGCCCGGAGCUCAACUCCGGAAUUGCCUUUAAGACUGCAGAGCUAGCAGGUGAGAGAGGUGAGUGGAAUUCCGAGUGUAGAGGUGAAAUUCGUAGAUAUUCGGAAGAACACCAGUGGCGAAGGCGGCUCACUGGCUCAUACUGGACGCUGAGGUGCGAAAGCGUGGGGAGCAAACAGGAUUAGAUACCCCCGUAGUCCCUGUCUCUUAUAA
RNAcentral lists this ribosomal RNA (301 nucleotides) under uncultured bacterium. RNAcentral's name for it is "partial 16S ribosomal RNA". It matches the Rfam family "Bacterial small subunit ribosomal RNA", at positions 509 to 809 of the family's 1533-position model. The record is from RNAcentral.